Molecule: ribosomal RNA, 717 nt
Filed under: uncultured organism
Description: bacterial SSU rRNA
Rfam family: Bacterial small subunit ribosomal RNA
Source: RNAcentral
UACAGGGAGUGGCAAACGGCUGAGUAACGCGUAGGAACCUACCCCAAACUCGAGUAUAGCCCCGCGAAAGCGGGGGUAAUCCUCGAUAGCCCGUGAAGUAUUUUACUUCACGGUAAAGCUUUUGCGGUUUGGGAUGGGCCUGCGUCCUAUCAGGUAGUUGGUGAGGUAAAUGCUCACCAAGCCUAUGACGGGUAGCUGGUCUGAGAGGAUGGUCAGCCAGACUGGGACUGCGACACGGCCCAGACUCCUACGGGAGGCAGCAACUAGGAAUUGUGCGCAAUGGACGAAAGUCUGACGCCGCGACAUCGCGUGGAGGAUGAAGGUCUUCGGAUUGUAAACUCCUUUUCUUACCGAACAAGUUCUGAGUGUAGGUAAGGAAUAAGUGCCUGCUAACCACGUGCCAGAAGCAUCGGUAAUACGUGGGGCACAAGCGUUAUCCGGAUUUACUGGGCGUAAAGAGAAGCGUAGGCGGCUCGAUAAGUUUGGUGUUAAAUCUUCCGGCUCAACCGGAAACAAGCACCGAAAACUAUCGAGAUUGAGUCGAGUAGGGAAGAGGGGAAUUCCUGGUGGAGCGGUUAAAUGCGUAGAUAUCAGGAGGAAUACCAAGGGCGAAGGCACCUCUUUGGACUCGUACUGACGCUGAGGCUCGAAAGCGUGGGUAGCAAAACGGAUUAGAUACCCGUGUAGUCCACGCCGUAAACGAUCCCUGUUAGAUGU